UACAGAGGGCCCAAGCGUUGUUCGGAUUCACUGGGCGUAAAGGGCGCGUAGGCGGUCGGGUAAGUCUGACGUGAAAUCUUCAAGCUCAACUUGGAAACUGCGUCGGAUACUAUUCGGCUAGAGGAAUGGAGGGGAGACUGGAAUACUUGGUGUAGCAGCGAAAUGCGUAGAUAUCAAGUGGAACACCAGUGGCGAAGGCGAGUUGCUGGGCCGACACUGACGCUGAGGCGCGAAAGCUAGGGGAGCGAACGGG
Molecule: ribosomal RNA, 253 nt
Filed under: uncultured bacterium
Lineage: Bacteria
Description: partial 16S ribosomal RNA
Rfam family: Bacterial small subunit ribosomal RNA
Source: RNAcentral